UGAGCGGUACUGUAGCGAUAAGGGAGAGAGGCGAUAGCGAGGCAAAGGGAGGAAUAGGCGCUCGGGCGAUGGAGGCAAUCCCUUUCUGUUCAUGUCGAUUCCCAGAUCCCCCACCUGUGGAGCUUGAUUUCUCUCUCAUUUCCCUUUGAUUCUCGCCUCCUGCGGUUGGUUGGUCUCUCAAUUUCUCUCUCGAGCGCGUGAUUUUGUUCAUUUCUCGGUGUGUAGCUUCGAGAUCUAGGGGUCGGUUGCUGAUGUGAUUUUGUUAGGGUUCGUGGUAGGCGUGUGUUGUGAUCCGGGGCCGUGUUGUUGUAGAUUCAUGGUAGGUGCUUGUAGUUUUAGUGGUUCGUUUUGGUACGCGUUCUCCCGCUGUCGUUCAUCAUCUACUUCGUGUUGUCCGCAUUUUUGUUCCUCUUCUGCUCGUGGUAGGUUCAACGUGUUCAGUUUCUAUGAUUCAGAUAAAUGUAUGGAUCAGUUAUAGGGUUUUGAGAUGGGAGUUUUUGUGGUUUUGGGUUUGUGAUUUGCGUUGGUAGGUGGUUUGUUUGUUCGCUGGUAGAUGGGUGUUGCCUCCCUUGUCCGUGUUGGUUUCUAGGUUUCCUCUUAUGCCCUCUGUUGCAGGUCCCUUCUGUCAUGUGAGUGGAUAAAUCGCUCUUAGUGUUGGUUUAGAUGUACUUAGGUUCCUUCUUCUUAAUGCCAUGGUAACUGUGUGUGUGAUGCAGGUUUUGUAUCUUUUUCCUUGUGCCUAGUGUUGAUGUGUAUCCCCAUAGUUUUAGUGUCAUACAUUAGAAUUACUGUGUAUUUUUGCAUGAGUCUUACUGUGUAAUCCACAUAGUUUCAGUGUGCAAAUUGCAAAUCUAGUUUCUAUUUAUUCCAGUAGAUCAUCCCAGUAGAGUCUGAUGCCAUUGAAAUGUUUCUGUUUAUGUUAAUUGUCAUGCAUCUUAUUUUCCACGAAUUACUAUGGAAUUUAACUAUGAUUUACACUAUAAUAUAGGACAGUUUUCCACUGUAUGCCCAAUAUUGCACUGUAAUUUACCAACUGUAGUAUACCCCAGAAUUACAGUGUAAUUUCUAUGCUUCAUCACUGUAUCUACCCCAGAUUUACACUGCAAUUUAUAUGCUUCAGAACUGUAAUCAGAUGUGGAUUUACCUCUAAAUUGUUGUAGGGCUUACACUGUAAUAUACCGCAGAUUUACACUGUAAUUUGUAUGCUUCAGCACUGUAAAUGUUGUAUGCUUUACACAGUAUUUUUUGGACUGAGUAUAGUGGAUUUUUACCUCUGAAUUGAUGUAGGGCUUACACUGUAAUAUACUGCACAUUUACACUGUAAUUUGUAUGCUUCAGUACUGUAAAUUUGUAGGUCUUACACAGUAUUCGUCAGAUGAUUUACCUCUCAUUUUUACAGUGUGAUUUCCAUGCUUUUUAGCUCUGUACUUCAUGUAGUUUCUUGCAUUUUUGUUUUCUUCUUUUCAUGUGCAAGUGUGUCUCUGUUGCAGAGUAGUAUUGAGCGAGGUCCUGUUUUUCACUCUGUAAUUACUAGUAUUUUUUGCCUCAGACUUACUAUGCAAAUUGCAUGGUAGUUUCUAUGUAAGUCAGCCCAUAGUUUCAGUGUUUUUUCACAUAAUUACUAGUAUUUACUGUGUAUUUUUGCCCCAUUUUUACUGUGUAAUUCAUCAUGUAGUUUCAGUGUAAUUUACUAUAAAAUUAUUUUGUAAUUCAUCAUGCAGUUCCAGUGUAAUUCCAUGUAGAAUUACUGUGUAAAUCAUGCCGUAUUUUUACUGUGUAAUUUACUAUAGAAUUACUGUGUAAUUCAUUAUGCAGUUUCAGUGUAAUUCAUUAAUGCAGUUUCAGUGCCGUAGUUUUACUGUGUAAUUCUGCUAUGUAAUUCCUGACUAUGCCCCCUGAUUCCAGUGUAAUUUCCCCUAGAAUUACGAUGGUUUACAUUGUAGCUACAGUGUAUAUUCCCAGAUUUUUUGCAAUGUAUUUACAUUGAUUCAGUUAUGUAAUCUCUCAUGCUAAUUUUCACUGUACCCCUAUUCUUUCUUCUGAAUUUUUACAGUGUACCCCUAGUUUUACUGUGUUGCUUAUUAUAUGUAUUUUACAGUGUAAUUUUUGCCCUAAUUUGCAGUGUAAUAUUCAUGCUUUUAGCACUGUGAUUUAUAGGUUUAGUUUAUGAGUGGUUGCAAAUGGGUUUACAUAUCUUCAAGGAUUGUCGCUCUGUUUGCAAGCUUGACCUGUCGCAAUUUGUUUAUGAGUGGUUGUUGUCUAGUAUUAAGAAAUUCAAGGAUUCUACUAAAGUUGCUUCGAAAAGCUCUGUGACGUUUGGUGGCUGCCAUUACGCCUUUGCUGUUUCUUUCCUUGAUCAUCUCAAUUUCGGUCUCUACUCUGUCCCUGAUGUCAAGCCUCGUGUACUAGCAUGAAGAGGUAACAAAGUCAAGCAGUUUGCAGAGCUUGAUAGAAUAAUAACCGCUCUUACGGGAAGAGGCCACUGAAGGCUUUUUGUCCUACAGUUCAUUUGCAGUUCAUGGUGCCAAACAGGUCUGCAUGCCACCACGGGUUCUGUUCUGCUGCACAUUCUUCAUUUCGUGUAGCUUCGUUUUCCAGUUCUCCAAAUGUCUGCACAAGAAUACUAAAGUCAUUUUCCUUGUAAGAGAGGUGAAGGGGGUGAAGAAUUGAAGUGCUAGGGGGUAGCAGUAGUUUUUUGUUCCUGGCCUGUUGAUUUUCCUGGGAUUUCCCCAAUUGCCUAAGCGGGUGAAGAAUUGAAGCUGCUGUUGUUCCUUCUUGCUUUUCUCUAGGCGAGAUCUCUGCUGCUGUUAUGUAGGAGGGGUUGGAGAGUUCCCAAGAGGCCCGCGUUUCUGUGGGUAGCAAGUUGAUGGCCAGCUGUUUGCUGUAGUCCAGCGAGGCUGCCGAGCAGCGAGGUUUGGUGGUGAUGCCGGUUUAGUUGAAACCGGGUCAGGGUUUUGCCCGACUCGUUUAACCCGAAAUGAGAAAAUAAACAGUGGCCGGUGGGGGGUGGGGGUUUGGGACAAGGGCAUGUGUCAUCUGUUCAUUGGUUGGGGAAUUUGAAUGUCGUUGAAUUGAAAAACAGUCAAAUGUCAAAUAGACAGUCUCAAUUAACAUGGUCUUUGUCCAAAUUAA
Non-coding RNA from Aegilops tauschii subsp. strangulata, 3132 nucleotides. The record is from RefSeq and is a predicted model, not a curated record. Lineage: Eukaryota; Viridiplantae; Streptophyta; Magnoliopsida; Poales; Poaceae.